CGCAUAGACACCCCCCCCCCCCCACCCUUUUCUUCACGUUUCACUAAGCCCUAGCCGCCGAAGGAGUUGCUCGCGUCUGGCAGCUGGUCGUCACUUCUUAAAGCUGUCGUCGAAGCCACCAUCUGGAGUAGUUGCGCGUGCCGUCAGAUCCCUAAAUGUCGGAGUUGUCGCAAGCCCGUCGUAGAAUGUUGUUGUUCAGUCGAGUCGUCUGCUACCGCCUCAUUCAGAUCUUCUUUGUCAAACGUCGCAGUCGUGAACGAAGCCACACCGCCCAUCUAUUCGCCUCAAACCCACCAGAUCCAACAUCCAGUCAUCGAUUCCUUCUUAUUUUGCUAGUCGUCGCCGUCAGGAACUCCACCAUCAGUGGGGGUAUAGUGAAUUUGGAGGUUCGAAGGUUUUGAGGUACUGUCCAUCAGUGUUGAAGGUUGCUUUGGUGUGUCAUAAGCCGUUUUCCAGCAGAUUCAAAGUUGUUCCGAAGGAUUUUAGUUGGCAUCCAUUGGUGAAGUAAUAAAGUGGAUUUGGAUUUAGCCUAAUUUUUUUGUGAGCUAAUUCGAGGGUUUUGGGAAGCUAGACUGGAGUUUGUUGCUUGGAUUAAUUCUUGGGCUUAAUUUGAGGUAAGUGGUACUAUUACCAGUUCUUCGUGACAGGCAAUCUAGAUUAGAUUUAUAAAGUUAAUUAAUGGACUCUAGAAGCAUGAUUUUGUCGCUGUGAUAUACUUGUUGCAUGACAGUUAUGAGUAUUAUGAGCAUGUUUGAAUUUCUAAUCAAUACUGAAAUUAUGUAUUUGAUGCAUGAUUAGACCAAUAGGGCAGUUUACCGUCUCGCCUUGAUGCAUGUUUUAUUUAAGAGGACCGACAGGUCUAGUUUCAUGUUUGACGGUAUGCCUACAGGCCGCAAGACAUGCAUGAAUCGAUAAGUUGACAUUCAUGUUAUUUUUCCAUGUUUGACGGUGUGCCUAUGGGCCGCUAGACAUGUGUAAGUCGACAGGUUCACGUUCAUGUUAUUUUUUUCAUGUUUGACGGUAUGCCAUCAGGCCACUAGACAUGCGAGUCAAGGUAAGGCAGUAUGUCUUUUGGUUUCUUUUCAUCAUCUAAGACCGAUGUAGUUGUUUGAGCCACGGGCCAUCAUUCUUUACUCGUGGAUGCAUAGUCGGAUCUCGGUAAUGGGAUCACUUAUUGAGUAUUAUAUACUCAACCUUUAUCUUUAUUUUUUUAUUUUCAGGUAAGGUCAAAGAUACUCACGACAAGAGAAAUCUGUGACAGUGCCAAAGGAACUAGAAUCGCUUUCGCAUUUGAACCUUUAUGUUUUCUUGCAUUUUUAUUUUAUUUAUGAUUUUUCUUUUAUUAUUUACUUCAUGUUAAAGGGUACCCUGGUCGAACGAUUUAAGAUCUUGAGAUAAUGACAGAAUAGUUUCUUAUAAACUUAAAA
Long non-coding RNA from Benincasa hispida (wax gourd), 1427 nucleotides. RefSeq lists it as uncharacterized. The record is from RefSeq and is a predicted model, not a curated record. Lineage: Eukaryota; Viridiplantae; Streptophyta; Magnoliopsida; Cucurbitales; Cucurbitaceae.